RNAcentral lists this ribosomal RNA (497 nucleotides) under uncultured bacterium. Its description in RNAcentral is "partial 16S ribosomal RNA". It matches the Rfam family "Bacterial small subunit ribosomal RNA", at positions 28 to 507 of the family's 1533-position model. The record is from RNAcentral.
GAUGAACGCUGGCGGCGUGCCUAAUACAUGCAAGUCGAGCGAACAGACGAGGAGCUUGUUCCUCUGACGUUAGCGGCGGACGGGUGAGUAACACGUGGAUAACCUACCUAUAAGACUGGGAUAACUUCGGGAAACCGGAGCUAAUACCGGAUAAUAUAUUGAACCGCAUGGUUCAAUAGUGAAAGACGGUUUUGCUGUCACUUAUAGAUGGAUCCGCGCCGCAUUAGCUAGUUGGUAAGGUAACGGCUUACCAAGGCGACGAUGCGUAGCCGACCGGAGAGGGUGAUCGCCCACACGGGAACUGAGACACGGUCCAGACUCCUACGGGAGGCAGCAGUAGGGAAUCUUCCGCAAUGGGCGAAAGCCUGACGGAGCAACGCCGCGUGAGUGAUGAAGGUCUUCGGAUCGUAAAACUCUGUUAUUAGGGAAGAACAAAUGUGUAAGUAACUAUGCACGUCUUGACGGUACCUAAUCAGAAAGCCACGGCUAACUACGUG